RNAcentral lists this long non-coding RNA (470 nucleotides) under Pan troglodytes (chimpanzee). RNAcentral's name for it is "long non-coding RNA NONPTRT003315". The record is from RNAcentral. Lineage: Eukaryota; Metazoa; Chordata; Mammalia; Primates; Hominidae.
CGCUUGUGUGCGCUGGGGCCAGGUCGUGGGUGCCCCCACCCUUCCCCCAUCCUCCUCCCUCCCCCACUCCACCCUCGUCGGUCCCCCACCCGCGCUCGUACGUGCGCCUCCGCCGGCAGCUCCUGACUCAUCGGGGGCUCCGGGUCACAUGCGCCCGCGCGGCCCUAUAGGCGCCUCCUCCGCCCGCCGCCCGGGAGCCGCAGCCGCCGCCGCCACUGCCACUCCCGCUCUCUCAGCGCCGCCGUCGCCACCGCCACCGCCACCGCCACCGCCACCGCCACCGCCACUACCACCGGCUGAGUCUGCAGUCCCGAGAUCCCAGCCAUCAUGUCCAUAGAGAAGAUCUGGGCCCGGGAGAUCCUGGACUCCCGCGGGAACCCCACAGUGGAGGUGGAUCUCUAUACUGCCAAAGGUCUUUUCCGGGCUGCAGUGCCCAGUGGAGCCUCUACGGGCAUCUAUGAGGCCCGGAG